GAAGAUAGCGGCGGACGGGUGAGUAACACGUGGGCAACCUGCCUGUAAGACUGGGAUAACUUCGGGAAACCGAAGCUAAUACCGGAUAGGAUCUUCUCCUUCAUGGGAGAUGAUUGAAAGAUGGUUUCGGCUAUCACUUACAGAUGGGCCCGCGGUGCAUUAGCUAGUUGGUGAGGUAACGGCUCACCAAGGCAACGAUGCAUAGCCGACCUGAGAGGGUGAUCGGCCACACUGGGACUGAGACACGGCCCAGACUCCUACGGGAGGCAGCAGUAGGGAAUCUUCCGCAAUGGACGAAAGUCUGACGGAGCAACGCCGCGUGAGUGAUGAAGGCUUUCGGGUCGUAAAACUCUGUUGUUAGGGAAGAACAAGUACGAGAGUAACUGCUCGUACCUUGACGGUACCUAACCAGAAAGCCACGGCUAACUACGUGCCAGCAGCCGCGGUAAUACGUAGGUGGCAAGCGUUAUCCGGAAUUAUUGGGCGUAAAGCGCGCGCAGGCGGUUUCUUAAGUCUGAUGUGAAAGCCCACGGCUCAACCGUGGAGGGUCAUUGGAAACUGGGGAACUUGAGUGCAGAAGAGAAAAGCGGAAUUCCACGUGUAGCGGUGAAAUGCGUAGAGAUGUGGAGGAACACCAGUGGCGAAGGCGGCU
This 652-nucleotide ribosomal RNA is filed under the name Bacillus sp. (in: firmicutes). Its description in RNAcentral is "bacterial SSU rRNA". It matches the Rfam family "Bacterial small subunit ribosomal RNA", at positions 88 to 726 of the family's 1533-position model. The record is from RNAcentral. Lineage: Bacteria; Bacillati; Bacillota; Bacilli; Caryophanales; Bacillaceae.